GACAGAGGGUGCAACCGUUGUUCGGAAUUACUGGGCGUAAAGCGCGUGUAGGUGGCAAGGCAAGUCGGGUGUGAAAGCCCUGGGCUCAACCCAGGAAGUGCACUCGAUACUGCCUCGCUAGAGUCCCGGAGAGGUUGGUGGAACUCUCGGUGUAGAGGUGAAAUUCGUAGAUAUCGAGAAGAACACCGGUGGCGAAGGCGGCCAACUGGACGGUGACUGACACUGAGACGCGAAAGCGUGGGGAGCAAACAGG
This 253-nucleotide ribosomal RNA is filed under the name uncultured bacterium. RNAcentral describes it as "partial 16S ribosomal RNA". It matches the Rfam family "Bacterial small subunit ribosomal RNA", at positions 524 to 776 of the family's 1533-position model. The record is from RNAcentral.